AUGCAGAGGAGGAAAAAAGGAUGUAGGUUUUUUGUUUGGGUGGAUGUUGAAUUUCCACCUCAAGAGAAGGCUCUGGUGAGUUGGCUACUUAGAAGAUUGAAGGAACUUGAAAAGGACGUUGGGCGUUGUCAAUCAAGAGAAAGAAAGUUAAUGAGUUGGCUUAUUCUUUCAUGGGGUUUAGUAAUGUUGUUGUUUUGGCAAUGUCUGUAA
This 210-nucleotide long non-coding RNA is filed under the name Prunus dulcis (almond). RNAcentral describes it as "sRNA ncRNA". The record is from RNAcentral. Lineage: Eukaryota; Viridiplantae; Streptophyta; Magnoliopsida; Rosales; Rosaceae.